Molecule: long non-coding RNA, 548 nt
Organism: Planococcus citri (citrus mealybug)
Lineage: Eukaryota; Metazoa; Arthropoda; Insecta; Hemiptera; Pseudococcidae
Exons: 2
Source: RefSeq, a predicted model, not a curated record
GGGCCGAGGCCCUUCGCAGUGUCACUGUCGAGCUGUUGAGUGUUGCUGUUGAUGUUGAUGUCGAUGUCAUUCAUCGGUCGUCGGUGCAUUUGACUAAAUUGCACCUUAUUGUGUUGUAUGAUUGUGUAGUUGGUGGAGAAGCUUUUCGAGUUUGUUAAUUACCUAUAAUACCGAGCCAGAGAUACCGAAGUCGUUAUGAAGUUCGGGGUUAUUAUCGUGGUAGUGAUUUUUGUCACGUUUCAGACUAUUAUCGAUGUGGAUUCCAAUCCGACUUAUGAUCUUCAAGGGAUAUUAGAAAGCCUUUUACAAAUUAAUAAGCAAGUAGCCAAAAUCAGCCAAAUGCUUCGCCUUCAACCGCUGGUAGGAGAAGGGUUCCAGCCAUUCAACAGAGGCGAGCAAUAAUAGUAUUCGGAUUUCAAACUCGCAAAAAAACAUCGAAUUUUUUCAAAACACGGGUAACUUAAACGACCCGCGAAUGUAAUAAAAUUCACGCGAAAUGUACACACAUAAAAAUGGAAUAAAUACAAAUUGAAUUGGCACAAUAACAA